Long non-coding RNA from Corvus hawaiiensis (hawaiian crow), 4676 nucleotides. RefSeq lists it as uncharacterized. The transcript is spliced from 3 exons. The record is from RefSeq and is a predicted model, not a curated record. Lineage: Eukaryota; Metazoa; Chordata; Aves; Passeriformes; Corvidae.
GAGAGAGGUCGGCGCGUAGUGAGGCGCAGCGACGGGGCUGAACCAAGGCUUAGAAAUGUCUCCCCGAUACCAAGUUGUGGUGGGUUUUGGGGGGUUUUUUGGGCCAGAAGUUGAAUUACGAUUUUUUUUCUCAUCUCUUCGUGCUCGACGACAUCUUGGUAUGGAGUUACAUACGUGGGCUACAAAUAGUAAAGAACUGAUGUGUACACUUCUGGAGGGAUAUGGGGAAUAAUUUGUUCAGAUAAAUCACUGACCAACCUCAAAAUACACAUUCAGAAAGAAGACUGAAGGGAAUGAGGAAAAGAUCCAGAUUGAAAGUGUGCUGUAAGACAAAUAAUUUGCCUUUGGUCUUUCGAUCUAACAGCUUCCCUGAGGAUCCGAGUCUGCAAGGUGCACAGCAGAUGAUUUUUUGUAAGAGCAAGUUAAAUGGGAAAGAGCUUAUACUGGUUGAUCCCAAAGUGGGUGUUUCAAAAUGAUGCAGAGAUAAACCCUGUAACCAAAAGUGUUUAACUGAUCCAGUUAGUCUGGGUAGCCCCAAAGGGGGGAGCAACAUCACACACAAACCAGGCUGCAGUUCUGAGGGAGCAGCAACUUCUGGUGAAAAAUUAGCUGGGGACUAUAAUCAGCAACAGGAGAAAAUUUGAAGGGAGUAACCCUCUUGAGCUGUCCCAGUUGAAAUCAUGGCUGCAUGUGUGAGGCCUAACAAGUAAAGGAGCAGUGGUGACAUAAAACAACACAGUAAGGAAUUCCCUACUGGAGAACUUCUCAUUUCUAGCAAGCAUGAAGUUGUCCCCAGACAAGUGCUGAAUUCAAGAAAAUCAAGACUUUACAAGAGUGCUGAGGAAACAGAAGCUGGCAUUAAUGAAAUAUUUACUUGGUGUAUAAUUCUUUCACCCCUGUGCAAGGUCUUGGAAGACAAAUACUCAUCUUAUGCCGUCUACUUGGAGUCCACCUUAGAAGUUCCUUGGAAAGUCUCAGACAGAGACUUUACAAUUAAUCAACAAGAUGCAAGGAUCACCAGGAGGCAAGAAUGCAAUACCAUCAACAUGACACAGAGAAUCCCAUUCUUCAGCAUUAAAAAACAAGGCAAUGACUGGAAAACAUCCUGCUUAGGAAAACAUUGCUAAUGCCACCUUAUGCUGUUGGGUUUGCUUUUUUGUUUCCUUUCCCUAUUGUUGUUGCUCAGGGUGCCUCCUUAAUCCUGACAUUCUGGUUUCUUUAUUCAAGCCUUUUAUUUCCUCUCCAGACUCUUUGAAAACACUUUUUUUCAGGUGAAAUAUUUCUCAUAUGAUAUUUUCUAACUAGAACUUCUGUGUGCUUAGCACAGGCUUUGUUUUGAACACAGAUCAAGAACCACCUAGCUGUUUUGUGUUUUAUAUGGUGGCUCAUUCCAAUUAACCUCAGUAUGGCUUUCAGCACUCUUACCUGUUCUACCUUUCAACACUGAGUACCACCUUGAUCCAAUCUUUUGACUUUUCUUCUGUGGAACAGAAAAAGUCUCUGUCUCUCUGUCUGCCUUUUCAAAGUAAAUUUCACUGACAUGGAAUAUUGUUUUAGAAUUAUAUCUGUAUUUUCUAGUACCCUUCUUCCAUCUUCAGCUUAUUCAUUUUCUUCCUGUGUUUUGAAGUCCACCAAAAGCCUUCAUUCAGCAGAGUAUGUGAACAGAAUGUUCGUUCAGAAAAAUGCUUAAUUAUGUUUUUCAGUGGUGUUUUUACAAAUUAGUAAGGAGCACGUGUAGUACUGCACUGGGACCAGUUACUGUCCUCCUGAGGGGCAAGAAUUAAGCACAGUCUUACUCAUGUAUCUCUGCAGUUCUCUCUCCCCUUCCUCUUAACAUUCACCCUCAGCUGAGGACAAUGUUCCAACCACUGAAUGACUUGAAGGCAAAAGCUGUGUCUGAAUAUGGUAGUUACCAUCAAGCCCCCUGUAAAAUGUCAUACUCUGGUUAUUGCUAGCAGUUUGGAACAGAUGGCCAGGUAGGAAGUGUAGCACUCAAUUAAAAUUCACUGUAGCAUCAUCCUAGUUUUCAUUAGAGUCAUAAGAGGUGCGGGAAAUUCUUCUUAAAAAAAACCUGUUCUUUUUACUUUCUGUGGGGCCGUAUAUAUUUACACUCUAUUGAGAAAGUAAUGGCUGCUGAUCUGGGUAAAAGGUGCUUUGAAAUAUUGUUCUAAUUUCAUCUGACAUAAAGCUGUCAGGGUUUUGGAGUGCAUAUGGAAGGUCAGACCCUGGGACUCCCAACUUUCACAUUAUCUAUGACUCUGAGAUACUCCUGUCUUGAGAAGAAAGUAUAUUGAUAUUUCUGUCCAGUUGAUACUGGAUUAAACUUUUAUGAGUAUCCUAUUCAUCUAAUGAAUUAGUAUGAGCUUUGCUAGUUUCGUACUGUCCCGCGCAGUCUGGGAGGGGCAGGGGUCUUGCGGAGCGAGAGGCGCAGGGUGUGUGCAGGUCCCUCCAUGCAGGCAGAGCUGUGACUGCGCACAGAUCCGGCAGAGGGAAGUGUUGUUCUAAAAUACCCGACCCUGCAGGGAGCCUUUAUUGGUCACUGCGAGCCACGUUAUUGCACCAGGAAAUCAAUGAUCUAGAGCGUAUGGAACAUGUGAUUUAUAAAUUCUCAGUAGAAGACAAAGAAGCUUUAGCAAAUUCCAGAAAGAGCAAGUGAGAUGAUAAUCAGGAUGUGCCAGGGAAUGAAAUUAAAUUAUAUUAAUAACUAUGAGUUUUACAUGGUUUUUAUUCUCUUUAGGAGAAUAAAUGGUAGUAUGGAGUUUUAGGAGUUAAAGAGUUGUGAUCUGCUUGUUCAUGCUUCACCUAACUAUGAAGCUGUAGCCUUUCAUAUCAAAAGACAGGAUCUUGAGAAUCAGAUAGUCAAAUGCAUUUGGUGAUCACAAGGCAAGUUGUCAUAGGGUGCUCUAUCACAGAACUGGCUCAGCUUCAGAUACUGCUGCCAGUGUGAUUGCCGAUCAACAUGCUGCUGCUUCUGCAACUCCAAGCACUGUUGGAGGGUUAAAAGACAAGUGUAAUAUCAUUUCUGUAAUAUUAAAGAGAAUUUUCAAUAGAAAAUAUUUCAAAGUGAAAUGUUGACUGUAUUACCCUUUUAAAUAUACAGCACUUUGCUAUAUAGCUUUCCCUUUCUUACUUCAUGAGAUUUCCCAAAACUGUACCAGUGAAGGGGUUGAAGCAGAUGCUCUGGAUACCAAAUAGUCACACUGAGCAUAACAUUUGAAAUCAUUAUUUUUAUGUGCAUAUUCAAAGUUGUGUUUGUGACAUCUAAAUACCAAGUUAAAAAAGAUCAGGGGAUGGCAUGAUGUGUGAAAGGAAGCUCAACUUUCACAGUAUUGUCAAGCUGUUGUUUUUCAGUAUCUUAAAAAUGGCUGUCACAAACAACUAGAGUGUUGGAGCUUGAAGAACGUUUUCCAGAUAAUGUUGCUUGGAAAAGACUGAAAGAAAUUCAUCCUGAAAUAAUUGUCACUAAGCUAACCUUAAAGAUGAACUUGAUCUGCUAAGUAUACAGUCAGGAGCUGCACUGCUAAAACAGUGCUGGUUUUGAGUAAGAGCUUAACAAAAUAUUUCAUUUGCUCAGAUACGAUUGCUCAGAGAUUGGUGCGGUGUGACUGCUGGGUUGAGUCCUCCCCUUGUGCUUCCCCAGGAGCUACUCAGUAUCAGAAUAAAGAAUUAAACCUAGAUAAUUGUGUUGCAAUCUUCUGCUCAAGCAAUUAUGAACUGUAUGAACAUCAACCUCUGUGUUCUGACUUAAUUCAAUACUUUGAUUUUUAGCACAAAUAGUUCUUGGUUUUAUAAUUUAGUCAAACAUUAAUUUGUCUUCCUAGCAUAUUGCUGACCAAAAGAAAAUGUGUCAGGUCCUGGAGACAGACUUUUCAUUUUUGAGUUAGUAGAAAGAAAGAUUAUGAGAUGUACUUUUAUUUAUUUUGCUCACGGACAGGGGAAAUAGUCCCAAGUAAAACAGAUUAAAUAAUUCCUCAGGGAAACCCUAAUAGAGCAGAAAAUUUGUCUUGAUGAUACAGCCAGCUAAGGAGGCGGCAGGUCACGAGACAAAAGGGAAUUCAUCUCCUGGGAAGAGGCUGGCCUGCUCUCUGCUGUUUACCAAACCUCACCAACGACUCUUGGAGCAGAAAUUGCAGACAAUGCCACAAUGUUGACAUCUUUGUGCUGUCAAUAGCUGCUUCUCUGAGGUUAGAUUACUAUCAACGUACAUCACCCUAAGUAGAAGCUAUCAGCCUAAAGCAAAUUUUCUGCUAGGCUACCACCAUGACUGCAAACUAGAAGAACAAAUGGUGUUUGUUUUUUUUUUUCAACACACGUUUGCAUUGGUAUUUCUACAUGUUUGGAUUAAAAAGUGAGGUUCCCUUUUGCUUUAAUUACUUUCACUUUUGGCUCCAGUGCAAUGCUUGUGCUUCCUCAAAAGUAUGAUAUAUUUUAAUGUCUCUUUUAAAUUGAAACUAAUACUAGUAGCUAAAUGUGUACUGAAUACACAUUUGAAAAUUGUGAAUACAAUUUGAAAAUUGUUAACUUUUGCAAAAUUUAGUGACUGUGCUGUUUAAAAUGAAGGUGGUUUUGUACAGCUGUGAAGAAAAGGAUUUUUGUGUUUUAUGGAGGAAAAGCAAUAUUUUGAAAAUAGUCCCUUUUCCUGCAAAAUUGGUGACUGGACAAAGAAUAAACAUUAC